UACAGCGAGAGUGAGCGUCUUCCCGAAAUAUCCGUCCGAAGAAGCGACGCCUGCCGCUGAGCGCUGACGCCGCAGCGACUGGACUGACGAUCUCCGAGCGUCCCCUCUCGCUCGCCGGCAACAUGACUCGCUCCUUUGCCAAGACGUAUGGGUCCUGACUCCUGAGCCAAGGACAAGAGUAAGAUGGCAAUGAAGUGUGGGUUCAACGACGAGGAUGAGGAGGAUGUGGCAGAGAUGCCACACACAAAGAACUUAAAGGAGGCCACUCACAUAGACAAGAUCACAAAGGAAGCUUAGGCUAAGGUUAUGGUGCACAGGAAGGUCUCUGCCUUGACUGCCGCCCUGGAGACCACCACAUGCCCCAUCCCUGCACCAGAGAAUGCCCCAGCCCCAACCGCUGUUCCAGAGACCGCCGCAACCCUCGCCCCGGCACUGGCCCCAGCAAUCAACUAAAUAUGGGUGAAGGGACUUGAUUUCUGAUCAAGAAAUGACAACAAUUGCCACAAGUCAAAGAUUUCAGGAGAAUGUUUGCAUCAACUGGGUUUUUUUGGUUUCCUCUUUUUCUCAGUUCUUUUGUAAUGGUGAUCAGUCACAAACCUUUAAAUCAGCUGAGUUUGUUUCUUGAAACUGGUUGAAGGGGACCAGUAAAUGAUGGUAAAGGGAUCAGUUUAGCCGUGGUAUCCAAAUACAAUCUGAUGGUAACAAUGUGGAUAGCUUUACAUGCAUUUGUCUGUGUUCACUCUGAGAUUAUGUCUUUCUCAUUGUGGCGGUCCAUGAUUAUUGUGCUUUCAUGUGAGAUCAUAUGUUUAUUUGCUGCC
This is a long non-coding RNA of Lolium perenne, 818 nucleotides long. RefSeq lists it as uncharacterized. NCBI's taxonomy places the organism in Eukaryota, Viridiplantae, Streptophyta, Magnoliopsida, Poales, Poaceae. The record is from RefSeq and is a predicted model, not a curated record.